AAAUUGAAGAGUUUGAUCAUGGCUCAGAUUGAACGCUGGCGGCAGGCCUAACACAUGCAAGUCGAGCGGUAACACAGAGAGCUUGCUCUCGGGUGACGAGCGGCGGACGGGUGAGUAAUGUCUGGGAAACUGCCUGAUGGAGGGGGAUAACUACUGGAAACGGUAGCUAAUACCGCAUAACGUCGCAAGACCAAAGUGGGGGACCUUCGGGCCUCAUGCCAUCAGAUGUGCCCAGAUGGGAUUAGCUAGUAGGUGGGGUAACGGCUCACCUAGGCGACGAUCCCUAGCUGGUCUGAGAGGAUGA
Molecule: ribosomal RNA, 304 nt
Filed under: Klebsiella pneumoniae
Lineage: Bacteria; Pseudomonadati; Pseudomonadota; Gammaproteobacteria; Enterobacterales; Enterobacteriaceae
Description: partial 16S ribosomal RNA
Rfam family: Bacterial small subunit ribosomal RNA
Source: RNAcentral